RNAcentral lists this ribosomal RNA (165 nucleotides) under Helianthus tuberosus. RNAcentral describes it as "5.8S ribosomal RNA". It matches the Rfam family "5.8S ribosomal RNA". From Rfam's summary of the family: 5.8S ribosomal RNA (5.8S rRNA) is a component of the large subunit of the eukaryotic ribosome. RNAcentral also lists the same sequence under 1 other name. Lineage: Eukaryota; Viridiplantae; Streptophyta; Magnoliopsida; Asterales; Asteraceae. The record is from RNAcentral.
AAAACGACUCUCGGCAACGGAUAUCUCGGCUCACGCAUCGAUGAAGAACGUAGCAAAAUGCGAUACUUGGUGUGAAUUGCAGAAUCCCGUGAACCAUCGAGUUUUUGAACGCAAGUUGCGCCCGAAGCCAUCCGGUUGAGGGCACGUCUGCCUGGGCGUCACGCA